RNAcentral lists this long non-coding RNA (1155 nucleotides) under Melopsittacus undulatus (budgerigar). RNAcentral describes it as "lncRNA (ENSMUNG00000019896.1)". Lineage: Eukaryota; Metazoa; Chordata; Aves; Psittaciformes; Psittaculidae. The record is from RNAcentral.
AUGGGGUGGGUAAUGGGGCAGCAAUGGGGCAGAAAUGGUGUGUAUAUAGGGUGUCUAUGGGGUGUCUAUGGGUGUCUAUGGGAUGUAUAUGGGGUGUAUGUGGGGUGUAUAUGGGGUGUCUAUGGGUGUCUAUGGGGUGUAUAUAGGGUGUCUAUGGGUGUCUAUGGGGUGUAUGUGGGGUGGGCAAUGGGAUGUGGGGUGAGAAUAAAGGAGAUGAUGGAGCAAAUAGUGUGGUUAUGUGGGGAGAUGUGGGGUGAAUGGAUGGGGAUGGAUGGGGGGCAGUGGGGCAGCUAUGGGGCAGCAAUGGGGUGUCUAUGGGGUCUAUGGGUGUCUAUGGGGUGUCUAUGGGUGUCUAUGGGUGUCUAUGGGUGUCUAUGGGGUGUCUAUGGGUGUCUAUGGGUGUCUAUGGGGUGUCUAUGGGUGUCUAUGGGGUGUCUAUGGGGUGUCUAUGGGGUAUCUAUGGGUGUCUAUGGGGUGUCUAUGGGUGUCUAUGGGGUGUCUAUGGGGUGUCUAUGGGGUGUCUAUGGGUGUCUAUGGGGUGUCUAUGGGUGUCAAGGGGUGUCUAUGGGUGUCUAUGGGUGUCUAUGGGGUGUCUAUGGGGUGUCUAUGGGGUGUCUAUGGGUGUCUAUGGGUGUCUAUGGGGUAUCUAUGGGUGUCUAUGGGGUGUCUAUGGGUGUCAAGGGGUGUCUAUGGGGUGUCUAUGGGGUGUCUAUGGGGUGUCUAUGGGGUGUCUAUGGGUGUCUAUGGGUGUCUAUGGGGUAUCUAUGGGUGUCUAUGGGGUGUCUAUGGGGUGUCUAUGGGUGUCUAUGGGGUGUCUAUGGGUGUCUAUGGGGUGUCUAUGGGUGUCUAUGGGGUGUCUAUGGGGUGUCUAUGGGGUGUCUAUGGGUGUCUAUGGGGUGUCUAUGGGUGUCAAGGGGUGUCUAUGGGUGUCUAUGGGGUGUCUAUGGGGUGUCUAUGGGUGUCUAUGGGGUGUCUAUGGGUGUCUAUGGGGUGUCUAUGGGGUGUCUAUGGGUGUCUAUGGGGUGUCUAUGGGGUGUCUAUGGGUGUCUAUGGGUGUCUAUGGGGUGUCUAUGGGGUGUCUAUGGGUGUCUAUGGGGUGUCUAUGGGGCAGCAGUGGGAUCAAGGGACCCGGUUUGGGUGUAUGGUCGUGCAUGA